Molecule: ribosomal RNA, 458 nt
Filed under: uncultured bacterium
Lineage: Bacteria
Description: partial 16S ribosomal RNA
Rfam family: Bacterial small subunit ribosomal RNA
Source: RNAcentral
CCUACGGGAGGCUGCAGUGAGGAAUAUUGGUCAAUGGGCGAGACCCUGAACCAGCCAAGUCGCGUGAGGGAGUACUGCCCUAUGGGUUGUAAACCUCUUUUGUCGGGGAGCAAAAGCCGGACGUGUCCGGCUGUGAGAGUACCCGCAGCUAAAGCCUCGGCUAACUCCGUGCCAGCAGCCGCGGUAAUACGGAGGAUGCGAGCGUUAUCCGGAUAUAUUGGGUGUAAAGGGUGCGCAGGCGGAUUUUUAAGUCAGUGGUCAAAUCGUGGGGCUCAAACCCAUCCAGCCAUAGAAACUGGGGAUCUAGAGUAUGCGAGAGGUAUGUGGAAUGCGUGGUGUAGCGGUGAAAUGCAUAGAUAUCACGCAGAACCCCGAUUGCGAAGGCAGCAUACCGGUGCACAACUGACGCUCAGGCACGAAAGCGUGGGUAUCGAACAGGAUUAGAUACCCCAGUAGUC